AUCGCUUCUCGGCCUUUUGGCUCAGAUCAAGUGUAGUAUCUGUUCUUAUCAGUUUAAUAUCUGAUACGUCCCCAUCGGGGGACUACAUAUUAAAUGGAUUUUUCGAACAGGGAGUCGGAAAUGGGGCUUGCUCCGUCCGCUCCACGCAUCGACCCGGUAUUGCAGUACCUCCGGGAACGGUGCAACACUU
This 190-nucleotide small nuclear RNA is filed under the name Salmo salar (Atlantic salmon). RNAcentral's name for it is "U2 spliceosomal RNA (multiple genes)". It matches the Rfam family "U2 spliceosomal RNA". Rfam says of the family: U2 is a small nuclear RNA (snRNA) component of the spliceosome (involved in pre-mRNA splicing). Complementary binding between U2 snRNA (in an area lying towards the 5' end but 3' to hairpin I) and the branchpoint sequence (BPS) of the intron results the bulging out of an unpaired adenosine, on the BPS, which initiates a nucleophilic attack at the intronic 5' splice site, thus starting the first of two transesterification reactions that mediate splicing. The record is from RNAcentral. Lineage: Eukaryota; Metazoa; Chordata; Actinopteri; Salmoniformes; Salmonidae.